Molecule: ribosomal RNA, 269 nt
Filed under: uncultured bacterium
Lineage: Bacteria
Description: partial 16S ribosomal RNA
Rfam family: Bacterial small subunit ribosomal RNA
Source: RNAcentral
CACGUAGGGUGCGAGCGUUGUCCGGAAUUAUUGGGCGUAAAGAGCUCGUAGGCGGUGUGUCGCGUCGGCCGUGAAAACCUGCAGCUUAACUGUGGGCUUGCGGUCGAUACGGGCAUCACUGGAGUUCGGCAGGGGAGACUGGAAUUCCUGGUGUAGCGGUGAAUGCGCAGAUAUCAGGAGGAACACCGGUGGCGAAGGCGGGUCUCUGGGCCGAAGCUGACUCUGAGGAGCGAAAGCUGGGGAGCGAACAGGAUUAGAACUCCGUGUCA